UAGUCAUAUGCUCGUUUCAAAGAUUAAGCCAUGCAAGUCUAAGUAUAAGUUUUCAUACGGCAACACUGCGAAUAGCUCAUUACAACAGUUAGAAUCUCCACUAUUAUCACUACCAAAUGGAUAACCAUGGUAAUUCUAGUGCUAAUACAUGCGAAACACCUGAUUUUCAGGUCGCACUCAUUAGUUGUUAGAUCCAGUUAUGGUUUAACCAUAUAUUUGAUGAUUAUAAUGAUGGAGUGGAUUGCUUUAUACGCAAUAAAUAGUACGAAUUUCUGACCUAUCAGCUUCUGUCGGUAGAGUAUUGGCCUACCGAGGCGGUAACGGGUAACGGGGAAUUAGGGUUCGAUUCCGGAGAGGGAGCCUGAGAAAUGGCUACCACAUCUAAGGAUGGCAGCAGGCGCGCAAAUUACCCAAUCCUGACACGGGGAGGUAGUGACCAGAAAUAGCAACGCAGGGCAAUGCUUUGUGAUUGUAAUGAGCGAAAGAUAAAUAUUUUUGCGAGUAUCAAUU
This 510-nucleotide ribosomal RNA is filed under the name uncultured eukaryote. Its description in RNAcentral is "bacterial SSU rRNA". It matches the Rfam family "Eukaryotic small subunit ribosomal RNA", at positions 21 to 549 of the family's 1831-position model. The record is from RNAcentral.